UACGUAGGGUGCAAGCGUUAAUCGGAAUUACUGGGCGUAAAGCGUGCGCAGGCGGUUGUGGAAGACCGAUGUGAAAUCCCCGGGCUUAACCUGGGAACUGCAUUUGUGACUGUACGGCUGGAGUGCGGCAGAGGGGGAUGGAAUUCCGCGUGUAGCAGUGAAAUGCGUAGAUAUGCGGAGGAACACCGAUGGCGAAGGCAAUCCCCUGGGCCUGCACUGACGCUCAUGCACGAAAGCGUGGGGAGCAAACAGG
This 253-nucleotide ribosomal RNA is filed under the name uncultured bacterium. RNAcentral's name for it is "partial 16S ribosomal RNA". It matches the Rfam family "Bacterial small subunit ribosomal RNA", at positions 524 to 776 of the family's 1533-position model. The record is from RNAcentral.